Molecule: ribosomal RNA, 1212 nt
Filed under: metagenome
Description: bacterial LSU rRNA
Rfam family: Bacterial large subunit ribosomal RNA
Source: RNAcentral
AAAGCAGUCUAUGUCAUACUUCCAAGAAAAGCUUGCACUGUCAUAAACAAAGAAUGCCUGUACCAUAACCGACACAGGUGGGUAGGUAGAGUAUACUAAGGGGCGCGAGAUAACUCUCUCUAAGGAACUCGGCAAAAUGACUCCGUAACUUCGGGAGAAGGAGUGCCUUAUUUCUAAGGUUGCAAUAACAAGAUCCAAGCAACUGUUUACCAAAAACACAGGUCUCCGCUAAGUCGUAAGACGAUGUAUGGGGGCUGACGCCUGCCCAGUGCCAGAAGGUUAAAGAAGUUGGUUAGCAUUAGCGAAGCUGAUAACUGAAGCCCUGGUGAACGGCGGCCGUAACUAUAACGGUCCUAAGGUAGCGAAAUUCCUUGUCGGGUAAGUUCCGACCCGCACGAAAGGCGUAAUGAUUUGGAUACUGUCUCGGAGAGGGGCUCGGUGAAAUAGACUUGUCUGUGAAGAUGCGGACUACCUGCACCUGGACAGAAAGACCCUAUGAAGCUUUACUGUAACUUGAGAUUGAAAUUGGACUUUAUUUGCGCAGUAUAGGUGGGAGGCGUUGAGAAUAAUCUUGCGGGAUUGUUGGAGCCAUCAGUGAGAUACCACUCUUGUAAUGUUAGAUUUCUAACUUUGUAUCAUUAUCUGGUCAAAGAACAGUUUCAGGCGGGCAGUUUGACUGGGGCGGUCGCCUCCCAAAGGGUAACGGAGGCGCACAAAGGUUUCCUCUGAACGGGUAGAAAUCGUAUCUAGAGUGUAAAGGCAUAAGGAAGCUUGACUGUGAGACCUACAAGUCGAGCAGGGACGAAAGUCGGUCUUAGUGAUCUGACGGUGCUGAGUGGAAAGGCCGUCACUCAACGGAUAAAAGUUACUCUAAGGAUAACAGGCUGAUCUCCCCCAAGAGUUCACAUCGACGGGGAGGUUUGGCACCUCGAUGUCGGCUCAUCGCAUCCUGGGGCGGUAGUCCGUCCCAAGGGUUGGGCUGUUCGCCCAUGAAAGCGGUACGCGAGCUGGGUUCAGAACGUCGUGAGACAGUUCGGUCCAUAUCCGGUGUAGGCGUUAGAAUAUUGAGAGGAGCCUUCUCUAGUACGAGAGGACCGAGAAGGACAUACCUCUGGUGUACCAGUUAUCGUGCCAACGGUAAACGCUGGGUAGCUAUGUAUGGAGUGGAUAACCGCUGAAAGCAUCUAAGUGGGAAGCCCACCUCAAGAUAAG